RNAcentral lists this ribosomal RNA (301 nucleotides) under uncultured bacterium. RNAcentral's name for it is "partial 16S ribosomal RNA". It matches the Rfam family "Bacterial small subunit ribosomal RNA", at positions 509 to 807 of the family's 1533-position model. The record is from RNAcentral.
CAGUCGCCACGGUAAUACGAAGGGGGCUAGCGUUGCUCGGAAUUACUGGGCGUAAAGGGAGCGUAGGCGGACAUUUAAGUCAGGGGUGAAAUCCCAGAGCUCAACUCUGGAACUGCCUUUGAUACUGGGUGUCUUGAGUGUGAUAGAGGUAUGUGGAACUCCGAGUGUAGAGGUGAAAUUCGUAGAUAUUCGGAAGAACACCAGUGGCGAAGGCGACAUACUGGAUCAUUACUGACGCUGAGGCUCGAAAGCGUGGGGAGCAAACAGGAUUAGAUACCCCCGUAGUCCCUGUCUCUUAUAC